Molecule: non-coding RNA, 211 nt
Filed under: Callithrix jacchus (white-tufted-ear marmoset)
Lineage: Eukaryota; Metazoa; Chordata; Mammalia; Primates; Cebidae
Description: Eukaryotic large subunit ribosomal RNA
Rfam family: Eukaryotic large subunit ribosomal RNA
Source: Rfam by way of RNAcentral
GGCUGAAGUGGCCCACGAUCAUGCCACUGCACUCAGCCAGGGUGACAAAGUGAGACUGUCUAAAAAAAAAACUAAGGCGAGCUCAGGGAGGACAGAAACCUCCUGUGGAGCAGAAGGGCAAAAGCUUGCCUGAUCUUGAUUUUCAGUACGAAUACAAACCGUGAAAGCGGGGCCUCACGAUCCUUCUGACCUUUUGGGUUUUAAGCAAGAG